GAUGAACGCUGGCGGCGUGCCUAAUACAUGCAAGUCGAGCGAACAGACGAGGAGCUUGCUCCUCUGACGUUAGCGGCGGACGGGUGAGUAACACGUGGAUAACCUACCUAUAAGACUGGGAUAACUUCGGGAAACCGGAGCUAAUACCGGAUAAUAUAUUGAACCGCAUGGUUCAAUAGUGAAAGACGGUUUUGCUGUCACUUAUAGAUGGAUCCGCGCCGCAUUAGCUAGUUGGUAAGGUAACGGCUUACCAAGGCAACGAUGCGUAGCCGACCUGAGAGGGGGAUCGGCCACACUGGAACUGAGACACGGUCCAGACUCCUACGGGAGGCAGCAGUAGGGAAUCUUCCGCAAUGGGCGAAAGCCUGACGGAGCAACGCCGCGUGAGUGAUGAAGGUCUUCGGAUCGUAAAACUCUGUUAUUAGGGAAGAACAAAUGUGUAAGUAACUAUGCACGUCUUGACGGUACCUAAUCAGAAAGCCACGGCAACUACGUG
This 496-nucleotide ribosomal RNA is filed under the name uncultured bacterium. RNAcentral's name for it is "partial 16S ribosomal RNA". It matches the Rfam family "Bacterial small subunit ribosomal RNA", at positions 28 to 507 of the family's 1533-position model. The record is from RNAcentral.